UGAGUAAUGCCUAGGAAUCUGCCUGGUAGUGGGGGACAACGUUUCGAAAGGAACGCUAAUACCGCAUACGUCCUACGGGAGAAAGUGGGGGAUCUUCGGACCUCACGCUAUCAGAUGAGCCUAGGUCGGAUUAGCUAGUUGGUGAGGUAAAGGCUCACCAAGGCGACGAUCCGUAACUGGUCUGAGAGGAUGAUCAGUCACACUGGAACUGAGACACGGUCCAGACUCCUACGGGAGGCAGCAGUGGGGAAUAUUGGACAAUGGGCGAAAGCCUGAUCCAGCCAUGCCGCGUGUGUGAAGAAGGUCUUCGGAUUGUAAAGCACUUUAAGUUGGGAGGAAGGGCAGUAAGUUAAUACCUUGCUGUUUUGACGUUACCAACAGAAUAAGCACCGGCUAACUUCGUGCCAGCAGCCGCGGUAAUACGAAGGGUGCAAGCGUUAAUCGGAAUUACUGGGCGUAAAGCGCGCGUAGGUGGUUCGUUAAGUUGGAUGUGAAAGCCCCGGGCUCAACCUGGGAACUGCAUCCAAAACUGGCGAGCUAGAGUAUGGCAGAGGGUGGUGGAAUUUCCUGUGUAGCGGUGAAAUGCGUAGAUAUAGGAAGGAACACCAGUGGCGAAAGCGACCACCUGGGCUAAUACUGACACUGAGUGCGAAAGCGUGGGGAGCAAACAGGAUUAGAUACCCUGGUAGUCCACGCCGUAAACGAUGUCGACUAGCCGUUGGGAUCCUGAGAUCUAGUGCGCAGCUAACGCAUUAAGUCGACGCUGGGGAGUACGGCGCAA
Molecule: ribosomal RNA, 781 nt
Filed under: Pseudomonas sp. SG-23
Lineage: Bacteria; Pseudomonadati; Pseudomonadota; Gammaproteobacteria; Pseudomonadales; Pseudomonadaceae
Description: bacterial SSU rRNA
Rfam family: Bacterial small subunit ribosomal RNA
Source: RNAcentral